This 742-nucleotide ribosomal RNA is filed under the name uncultured Staphylococcus sp. RNAcentral describes it as "SSU rRNA". It matches the Rfam family "Bacterial small subunit ribosomal RNA", at positions 80 to 806 of the family's 1533-position model. Lineage: Bacteria; Bacillati; Bacillota; Bacilli; Caryophanales; Staphylococcaceae. The record is from RNAcentral.
UUGCUCCUCUGACGUUAGCGGCGGACGGGUGAGUAACACGUGGAUAACCUACCUAUAAGACUGGGAUAACUUCGGGAAACCGGAGCUAAUACCGGAUAAUAUAUUGAACCGCAUGGUUCAAUAGUGAAAGACGGUUUUGCUGUCACUUAUAGAUGGAUCCGCGCCGCAUUAGCUAGUUGGUAAGGUAACGGCUUACCAAGGCAACGAUGCGUAGCCGACCUGAGAGGGUGAUCGGCCACACUGGAACUGAGACACGGUCCAGACUCCUACGGGAGGCAGCAGUAGGGAAUCUUCCGCAAUGGGCGAAAGCCUGACGGAGCAACGCCGCGUGAGUGAUGAAGGUCUUCGGAUCGUAAAACUCUGUUAUUAGGGAAGAACAAAUGUGUAAGUAACUAUGCGCGUCUUGACGGUACCUAAUCAGAAAGCCACGGCUAACUACGUGCCAGCAGCCGCGAUAAUACGUAGGUGGCAAGCGUUAUCCGGAAUUAUUGGGCGUAAAGCGCGCGUAGGCGGUUUUUUAAGUCUGAUGUGAAAGCCCACGGCUCAACCGUGGAGGGUCAUUGGAAACUGGAAAACUUGAGUGCAGAAGAGGAAAGUGGAAUUCCAUGUGUAGCGGUGAAAUGCGCAGAGAUAUGGAGGAACACCAGUGGCGAAGGCGACUUUCUGGUCUGUAACUGACGCUGAUGUGCGAAAGCGUGGGGAUCAAACAGGAUUAGAUAUCCCUGGUAGUCCACGCCGUAAA